This is a non-coding RNA of Acanthosepion pharaonis, 112 nucleotides long. The record is from the annotation of a GenBank genome assembly. Lineage: Eukaryota; Metazoa; Mollusca; Cephalopoda; Sepiida; Sepiidae.
UUACGGCCAUAUCACGUUGAAAUAUACGUUGUCAUCCGAUCACUGAAGUUAAACAACGUUGAACCUGAUCAGUACUCAGAUGGGUGACCGCUGAGGAACACCACCUGCUGAA